Long non-coding RNA from Orcinus orca (killer whale), 1655 nucleotides. RefSeq lists it as uncharacterized. The transcript is spliced from 2 exons. The record is from RefSeq and is a predicted model, not a curated record. Lineage: Eukaryota; Metazoa; Chordata; Mammalia; Artiodactyla; Delphinidae.
UCAGGGAAAUCACAGGCUAGAGUGAAAUUGACAAAUUGCCUCCUGAGAGGCAUGUCUCAGGACAUGCCUCUCACAAACAUCAGAAGCCCAGAGAGGGAACUUCAAUAUGGCGGAGAAGUAAGACGUGGAGAUCACCUUCCUCCCCACAAAUACAUCAAAUAUACAUCUACAUGUGGAACAACUCCUACAGAACACCUACUGAAUGCUGGCAAAAGACCUCAGACCUCCCAAAAGGCAAGAAAUUCCCCACAUAUCUGUGUAGGGCAGAAGAAAAAAGAAAAAACAAAGACAAAAGAAUAGGGACAGGACCUGCACUUCUGGGCAGCAGCUGAAUAAAGAAAAAAGAAUGAAAAGAAUUGAGGACAGUCUCAGAACCUCUGGGACAACAUUAAAUGCACCAACAUUUGAAUGAUAGGGAUCCCAGAAGAAGUGAAAAAAAAAGGGACUGAGAAAGUAUUUGAAGAGAUUAUAGUUGAAAACUUCCCUAAUAUGGGAAAGGAAAUAGUCAUCAAGUCCAGGAAGCACAGAGAGUCCCAUACAGGAUAAAUCCAAGGAGAAACAUGCAAAGACACAUAUUAAUCAAACUAUCAAAAAUUAAAUACAAAGAAAAAAUAUUAAAAGCAGCAAGGGAAAAACAACAAAUAACAUACAAGGGAAUCCCCAUAAGUUUAACAGCUGAUCUUUCAGCAGAAACUCUGCAAGUCAGAAGGGACUGGCAGGGCAUAUUCAAGGUGAUGAAAGGGAAGAACCUACAACCAAGAUUACUCUACCCAGCAAGGAACUCCUUCAGAUUCAACGGAGAAUUAAAACCUUUACAGACAAGCAAAAGUGAAGAGAAUUCAGCACCACCAAACCAGCUUUACAACAAAUGCGAAAGGAACUUCUCUAGGCAGGAAACACAAGAGAAGGAAAAGACCUACAAUAACAAACCCAAAAUAAUUAAGAAAAUGGUAAUAGGAACAUACAUAUUGAUAACUACCUUAAAUGUAAAUGGCUUAAAUGCUCCAACCAAAAGACAUAGACUGGCUGAAUGGAUACAAAAACAAGACCCAUAUAUAUGCUGUCUACAAGAGACCCAUUUCAGACCUAGGGACACAUACAGACUGAAAGUGAGGGGAUGGAAAAAGAUAUUCCAUGCAAAUGGAAAACAAAAGAAAACUGGAGUAUGAAUUCUCAUAUCAGACAAAAUAGACUUUAAAAUAAAGACUAUUACAAGAGACAAAGAAGGACAUAAUGAUCAAGGGAUCAAUCCAAUAAGAAGAUAUAACAGUUGUAAACAUUUAUGCACCCAAGAUAGGACCACCUCAAUACAUAAGGCAAAUGCUAACAGCUAUAAAAGGGGAAAUUGACAGUAACACAAUCAUAUUAGGGGACUUUAACACCACAGUUUCACCAAUGGACAGAUCAUCCAAAAUGAAAAUAAACACAAGCUUUAAAUGAUACAUUAAACAAGAUGGACUUAAUUGAUAUUUAUAGGACAUUCCAUCCAAAAACAAGAGAAUACACUUUCUUCUCAAGUGCUCAUGGAACAUUCUCCAGGAUAGAUCAUAUCUUGGGUCACAAAUUAAGCCUUGGUAAAUUUAAGAAAAUUGAAAUCUAUCAGGUAUAUUUUCCAACCACAACACUAUGAGACUAGAUAUCAAUUACAGGGAGAA